ACUCGUGGCAGAUAGCUCAGUAACACGUGGCCAAACUACCCUGUCGAUCGGGACACCCUCGGGAAACUGAGGCUAAUCCCGGAUACGGCUCGCUGCCUGGAGUUGGCGUGAGCUCGAAACGUUCAGGCGCGACAGGAUGUGGCUGCGGCCGAUUAGGUAGACGGUGGGGUAACGGCCCACCGUGCCGAUAAUCGGUACGGGUUGUGAAAGCAAGAGCCCGGAGACGGAAUCUGAGACAAGAUUCCGGGCCCUACGGGGCGCAGCAGGCGCGAAACCUUUACACUGCACGCGAGUGCGAUAGGGGGACUCCAAGUGCGAGGGCAUACAGUCCUCGCUUUUCACCACCGUAAGGAGGUGGUAGAAUAAGUGCUGGGCAAGACCGGUGCCAGCCGCCGCGGUAAUACCGGCAGCACGAGUGAUGACCGCUAUUAUUGGGCCUAAAGCGUCCGUAGCCGGCCGGGCAAGUCCAUCGGGAAAUCCGCACGCCUAACGUGCGGGCGUCCGGUGGAAACUGUUCGGCUUGGGACCGGAAGAUCCAGAGGGUACGUCUGGGGUAGGAGUGAAAUCCUGUAAUCCUGGACGGACCACCGGUGGCGAAAGCGCUCUGGAAAGACGGAUCCGACGGUGAGGGACGAAAGCUUGGGUCACGAACCGGAUUAGAUACCCGGGUAGUCCAAGCUGUAAACGAUGUCUGCUAGGUGUGGCACAGGCUACGAGCCUGUGCUGUGCCGUAGGGAAGCCGUGAAGCAGACCGCCUGGGAAGUACGUCUGCAAGGAUGAAACUUAAAGGAAUUGGCGGGGGAGCACUACAACCGGAGGAGCCUGCGGUUUAAUUGGACUCAACGCCGGACAUCUCACCAGCAUCGACAGUAGCUGUGACGGUCAGUGUGAUGAGCUUACUAGAGCUACUGAGAGGAGGUGCAUGGCCGCCGUCAGCUCGUACCGUGAGGCGUCCUGUUAAGUCAGGCAACGAGCGAGACCCGCACGCCUAAUUGCC
RNAcentral lists this ribosomal RNA (997 nucleotides) under Halovivax sp. RNAcentral describes it as "bacterial SSU rRNA". It matches the Rfam family "Archaeal small subunit ribosomal RNA", at positions 74 to 1068 of the family's 1478-position model. The record is from RNAcentral. Lineage: Archaea; Methanobacteriati; Methanobacteriota; Halobacteria; Halobacteriales; Natrialbaceae.